GAUGAACGCUGGCGGCGUGCCUAAUACAUGCAAGUCGAGCGAACAGACGAGGAGCUUGCUCCUCUGACGUUAGCGGCGGACGGGUGAGUAACACGUGGAUAACCUACCUAUAAGACUGGGAUAACUUCGGGAAACCGGAGCUAAUACCGGAUAAUAUAUUGAACCGCAUGGUUCAAUAGUGAAAGACGGUUUUGCUGUCACUUAUAGAUGGAUCCGCGCCGCAUUAGCUAGUUGGUAAGGUAACGGCUUACCAAGGCAACGAUGCGUAGCCGACCUGAGAGGGUGAUCGGCCACACUGGAGCUGAGACGCGGUCCAGACUCCUACGGGAGGCAGCAGUAGGGAAUCUUCCGCAAUGGGCGAAAGCCUGACGGAGCAACGCCGCGUGAGUGAUGAAGGUCUUCGGAUCGUAAAACUCUGUUAUUAGGGAAGAACAAAUGUGUAAGUAACUAUGCACGUCUUGACGGUACCUAAUCAGAAAGCCACGGCUAACUACGUG
This 497-nucleotide ribosomal RNA is filed under the name uncultured bacterium. RNAcentral's name for it is "partial 16S ribosomal RNA". It matches the Rfam family "Bacterial small subunit ribosomal RNA", at positions 28 to 507 of the family's 1533-position model. The record is from RNAcentral.